RNAcentral lists this ribosomal RNA (142 nucleotides) under uncultured eukaryote. Its description in RNAcentral is "partial 18S ribosomal RNA". It matches the Rfam family "Eukaryotic small subunit ribosomal RNA", at positions 1299 to 1458 of the family's 1831-position model. The record is from RNAcentral.
UGGUGGAGUGAUUUGUCUGGUUAAUUCCGUUAACGAACGAGACCUCGACCUGCUAAAUAGUUCGGUGAAGGCUUCGGCUUUCGUGCGUGACUUCUUAGAGGGACUAUCGGUGUGUAGCCGGUGGAAGUUCGAGGCAAUAACA